Molecule: long non-coding RNA, 1561 nt
Organism: Nothoprocta perdicaria
Lineage: Eukaryota; Metazoa; Chordata; Aves; Tinamiformes; Tinamidae
Exons: 2
Source: RefSeq, a predicted model, not a curated record
GGAAGGUAGAAGCCAUUGCAGGGCCAGCUCUUUGUAGCAGGUCACUGCAGGUCCCAGGUAUAGACUGUCACAUGAAGCCCACCCUUCACAGUCUGAAGGGGUGCAUCCUUUCUGCAUCAGCUCCACUGCCUCCCAGACAAGCUGCUAUCCACAAAACCAGAAGAAACUGGGAUCCUGCAUCUUAUAUCAGCCAUCUAACAAGCCCCAUUCUAUUAUGAGCUGAAAGCUUUCCCUGAGGAGAGAGCUGCUUGGAUCUGCCUUGUGUUUUCCAGUCCAUCUCCCAAGUGAGACAUACGGACAAGUUAAAACAGGCGCACUUCAGCACGGCCAAGAAGAGGGUGUCAGAGGAUUCGCCAGGCAUAGAAGCGCUGCCUCUUCUUUCUCUUCACCUUUCACAGUAGAUACAGGAAUCAUCACUGCUCCUGACCCAGAAGGGUUGUCCACACUUGUAGUCACCAAUCCCAAAGUGGAGGAGACAGUCCCACCAAAGGCUGGACAUCUGCCCUGGUGGUGUGGAGUUGGCUGUGAUGAGGAAAUGCUUGGGAGGGUGAGGCAGCCUUUGGACACUCUUGCAGGGGGGAUAAUUUUCCAAACCCAUGCUCCGAGAGCAUCCCUGGUGGCCCAGAAUGGUCCCAUGUGGUCCCCAAGUGAUUUACCCCAUCCUCAGAGCUGAUGCCGUGUAAGAUGCUGAUGCAAGGGGAAAACCCACCGUCUUCAGGCUAGGGAGGAAAGCAAGGAGCAGUCAGACCCAGGAAAGACCAAACCUGGGGCAUGUGGUACCAGCCAAGCGUGACAUCCUGAGCAGAGCUACAGAGCUGGUGAAACCUCAAGAGAAACUCAGACUUAAAACCCAGUGAAGCUAUAACAGAGAUUUUUGGGUUAUGAAAGUCUGGAGAAACUAGCUCAGAGUUUGAACCCGAAUCCUGGCAGCAGCAUCCCUGAAGGCACCCAGACAAGGGACUUUGCAGAAGACGGAGUUUUGGGGGAGAGGUUGUUCUAGGCAUAGAGGCAAAAGGAGAAGAGAUGAUGCAGAAACAGAAAGACCAAGAAAAGGGAAUUUUGAGGGCCAAGGAGGAUGUUGAAAGAUCUUAUGGAGAAGAUCUUCAUCUUUAUGGCAAAUCCAGACCAGCCACUCAGACCAUAUUUCUGGGCGUGCUCUGCUCACAUGACUUGCUGUGAAAUCUCACAUCCCUCUCUGAUUUUGAGCAGCUCUUUUAGUAGCUUGACCCUGGAGCUGAGCUGAUUUGGGGUGAGCAGGGUAUUCACUGAAAAAAAAAAAAAAUGUGCCCUUUCAAAGGGAACCAGCAAGCUGAAAUUCGGGUCAAAUAUAAGCACGUGGCUUCAGCCAGGAGUAGUGAAGGAAAUCAUUUGGAAGAUGUCGAAACGUCUUGUUUCAAAACAAGCCACUUCUUACAUCUUUAUUUCAAAACUCCUUUUCCUAUUUGAAAAGGGCCCCAAGUCAAAUGGGAGAAAGGGGCUUAAAAAGGUAAAAGACCCUAAAACUGGAACAAAACCCCGUGGUUUUGGUUGGAGGAAUUUGCAGGUUGAGUUGAACUGACGG